This 105-nucleotide transfer RNA is filed under the name Candidatus Woesearchaeota archaeon. RNAcentral describes it as "tRNA-Pro". It matches the Rfam family "tRNA". From Rfam's summary of the family: Transfer RNA (tRNA) molecules are approximately 80 nucleotides in length. Their secondary structure includes four short double-helical elements and three loops (D, anti-codon, and T loops). The record is from RNAcentral. Lineage: Archaea; Nanobdellati; Candidatus Woesearchaeota.
GGGGCUAUAGUGUAGCUUGGAGAAUAAGAGUAAAACUCCUAUUUGAGUAAUCUAUCACUAGCGGUUUGGGGCCGCUGAACCCCGGUUCGAAUCCGGGUAGCCCCA